This 470-nucleotide ribosomal RNA is filed under the name uncultured bacterium. RNAcentral describes it as "bacterial SSU rRNA". It matches the Rfam family "Bacterial small subunit ribosomal RNA", at positions 328 to 793 of the family's 1533-position model. The record is from RNAcentral.
UCAGUCGACUCCUACGGGGAGGCAGCAGUGGGAAUUUGGACAAUGGGGGCAACCUGAUCCAGCAAUGCCGCGUGAGUGAAGAAGGCCUCGGGUUGUAAAGCUCUUUGUCAGGGAAGAAACGGUGAUCUCUAAUAUAGAUUGCUAAUGACGGUACCUGAAGAUAAGCACCGGCUAACUACGUGCCAGCAGCCGCGGUAAUACGUAGGGUGCAAGCGUUAAUCGGAAUUACUGGGCGUAAAGCGUGCGCAGGCGGUUUUGUAAGUCUGAUGUGAAAUCCCCGGGGCUCAACCUGGGAACUGCAUUGGAGACUGCAAGGCUAGAGUGUGUCAGAGGGGGGUAGGAAUUCCACGUGUAGCAGUGAAAUGCGUAGAGAUGUGGAGGAAUACCGAUGGCGAAGGCAGCCCCCUGGGAUAACACUGACGCUCAUGCACGAAAGCGUGGGGAGCAAACAGGAUUAGAUACCCUGGUAG